CACUCGGCCUCCAUUUGCUUUUAUAGACAUGACUUCAAGGCAUGACCUCAGCGGUAGCACUUGUCAGUUGGGAGCUCAGAUGGCCUCGGGCUGGAAGCAGGCUCUGCCUUGCUCCUGCUUCCCCUCCUUGCCCCAGCUCUGAUCUGCCCAGUGCUUUGUAUCAUAGCCUCGACGUCGAGGGAUACUUUGUGCUGCUGAUUGUCUCACUUCUACAAGGAAAGAAUCAGGGCAUUUGGCACCCGAUAGCGAGACCUCCUUUCACUAUUUACUCAUGUACAGGAGGCGUGGGAAUGAAAUGAGGAUAAGAGAUGCUGACACCGUGUUUCAUCCUGCACAGGCAGCACUGCUGCUGGUGGAGUUGAUUGCAAUCCACUGGGAAAGACUUGGUAGCUCCAGGUAAGCAACUGCUGUCAUUUUGCUCUUUGAUUUUAGCAUUGCUGAAGUCAGAGGAAGAAACAUUUGGAUGCUAUUGAGAGGGUCAAUACAUUGUUAAAUGUCAGCGUUGGUUGGAACAACUAAGCCUUUUGGGUAUGCCCACCUUUGGUGUCAUAGCUGCUGUCCCUUCCCUACGGUGGGGUGUUGCUGCCUGUAGUGAUACAACAACAGAAGGAAAUGCUUGAAAAGUGACUCAAAAAAGGGAGGGUUACAUGAACCUAGCAGGCAGCUCUCAUUUUACACAGUUUGCCUCUGCCCACUGGGCCAGGGAUUUGUAGCUGAAAUGCCAUCUGUACUUUGUAGGCUCUUAUCUCUCUGGUGUGCUGAGAUAGCACCUGAUUACCAUAGUAUCGGAGCAUCUAGCUCUCUGUGAUGUAUUCAUCCUCAUAGCAAGCCUGGGGAUAGAAACCAGGAGACAACCUAAUUACUUCUUGCACUCUGCACAUAAAUUAUUGCUCCCAAACAUUUAAAGGAGACAGGAAGGGAUGCUGGGAAAGGUGCUAAAGGAACCGUUCUUCAUCCACAGCGGGCUUGUGCAUGAUCAGAAAUUGAAGGACUGGUGCUGUAAUGGCACCAGUGAUUGUCAGGAGGCCUCUCAGUGCAUCCCAGCUUGUUGAGGUCACUCCUGCAAGAUGGGGUGGCAAUAGGAUGACUGGGAUUAAAUUCACUUUGGAAUGGAAAGAUCUUGACUCAAGAGGAUCUGAAGUGUAGAGGGGUUGGCUGGCCUUAGGGUUCCUUGAGAUGGACCCGACCUCCAGCUUUUCACUUAACAUAUUGCCCCCACUGAACACACAUACACAAAGAUCCUCUUCUGCAUUAAACUGAAUGAUCACAUCCAGCUACCUGAAAAGCUGCCUUGCAAAAAAUCCCUUGGCGAGCAUAAAAUGAAACCAGAGGACCCCUUCUCGCCUUCAUUCUUAGAGGAAGAGAUUCAGAAACAACAUGAUUUAUGGGAAUUCCUAAGAAGAAGAUGAGAGUUUGAGCUUCAUCUUCCUUAAAUAGCCCUCUGUGAGGCUUACAAAAGCUUUUCCCACAUGCUGAGCUUUCAGAGCCAUGGGACAGGUUCCCCCCCAAGGCACUGAUCUUGCACAGCUCAGUAAAAUGCAGAGGGUGGCUAAAUCUGAGCUCCAAAUCGCAUCACUGACACGGAUGCACCGCGUCCAAAACAGCGUGUCCAGCACCGACCCACCACAUCUGUCACACUGACCUUCACCCACCAGGUCACUUGUCAGCAGCUCCACAUUCCCGGCUGGAGGAUGGAAAUGAGCCUGUUUGAGCCGACGGGAGCUCAGCAGAAACUCAUCAGCAGAGGAGCAAAGUUUACAGCUCAGAUGAAAGGCUUCAAAACUUGUCUCGGGGAGGUUGGGGGCCCUUCGUGCCCUGUUGAUGGAAUUCCAUCACCUUGUAACUGUGACAGGUUAUAAUCAACCUGCCCGAUUUGAAUCUUGUCCAUAGCUAGGAGUUUUAAUUUGAUAUUCACCAUUUGCUCCAUCUGCAUCAUGAAUGUGCCCUGCUAAAAGGAAAGCCUCCCUGACCUGCUUCCUCCAGGCAACGGGCUAACUUCCUCAUGCAGCCAGCCAGCGAUUGAGGUGUUUCAAUGCUGCUACCCAAGAGACAGAUGUUAAGGGCAAGUGGUUCAUCAGAAAGGGUUUUUUACUCUUUGUUGGACUACCUAAGAGGAAAAGGCAUUAAAUAGCCAGGCUAAUCACCUGUGUGACAGCACUCCACAUUGUGAGUUUCAUUUGGCUCCUGAUGGAGAUAUUAUCACUGUAGGACCUAAAAAAGGGUCAGUUGUGCUCUGUAAGCAGAUCUGUGUCCUGAGAGAUCCUUCAGCUGGAGCACAAAGGCCUCCAGCAAAAGAAGUAAGACUAUUCAACCAGGAGGUGUGCUUCAAACACUUCAUCAGGGUCACUGGGCAAAGGUAAGCCUUCUGUCUGGAAGCGAAUUGUGUGAAACGAAGGUGUCACUCUUCUUGUUACCACUUCUCACCCCUGAUUGCAUGGCAAAAGGGACAGGAAAGCCUCAACACUCCAUCAUUGUAAGUGAAACAUCUUAUUCUGGUCAAAAGCCAUUUUAGCACUAAUAAUUGCUUGCUUCUGUAUGACUUUUUGGGAAGGGGGACACUUUAGGCCAUGCUUGUGGGUUCUCCUCCACAAUCAUCAUACAUAUUUUUAAGUAGCUACAUGAGUCCAGGUCUACCGCAU
Molecule: long non-coding RNA, 2639 nt
Organism: Pezoporus flaviventris
Lineage: Eukaryota; Metazoa; Chordata; Aves; Psittaciformes; Psittacidae
Exons: 3
Source: RefSeq, a predicted model, not a curated record